UUUUUUGUGUCACGUUUGAACAGAUACCUUUGAGAAGUUUAUGAUUCUCCAAGUUCUCUUUCUCCUACUGUGGCACCUACUGACAAGAUAAAUGUGUAGAGGUUCCUGAGUCUAGGGGCACUGGAACCAGCUGACUGAUCUAUGGAAGUUCCCUUGGUCUCCAUUUGUUUAGAAAAGGGAUGAAGAAACUGAGGCCCACAGAAGGUGGGUGAUACCUGCAAAAUCACAAGCUUUCAUGGUGAAAGAAGAGGGCAAAACUCAACCCGUCUCUUUAGACUUGGGAAGAAUAUGAAAGGACCAGGAGGGACACCUUUCCUAAUAACCUAGCUGAUGGUUCACUUAUUGUAAGCACAUUCUCAAACAAGAGGCUGGAAAGCUGAAAAAUGACAUUCCCAGACUCCAUUGAAAUUAGAUUUCCAGAGGUGAUUUAUGUUCCACACAUCAGAUGUAUAUGCUCAAGAUUUGUUUAACAGGGAAGGAGGCAGUGGUGUGUGGGUCCCUUUUGCUCAUGUGAAUCUUACAGAGUUGUCUCACUAAGCCCAAAUUUGUCUAACUGGCCUUAUUUCCCUGGAGUAUAUCCUGGAAGUUUCCAUUCAAGCCAAUUUAAGUUACUUUAAAUUAGGAAAGGCAGAAAACAAAAGCCCAAACCUUUGUAAAGGAGGAGGAUUUGCUACAUUGUUCUCAAUUCAUCACAGAAGAGGAUGAAACUGAGUGAUUAC
RNAcentral lists this long non-coding RNA (719 nucleotides) under Homo sapiens (human). RNAcentral describes it as "ZRANB2 divergent transcript". Lineage: Eukaryota; Metazoa; Chordata; Mammalia; Primates; Hominidae. The record is from RNAcentral.